This 529-nucleotide long non-coding RNA is filed under the name Felis catus (domestic cat). RNAcentral's name for it is "lncRNA (ENSFCAG00000052850.1)". The record is from RNAcentral. Lineage: Eukaryota; Metazoa; Chordata; Mammalia; Carnivora; Felidae.
AGAUCUCUCAACAUCUCGCGAGAUCUGUUUCUGCUGGGUGGUUAACUGAGACGGCAGAGUUCCUGGUGUGGACGCAGUGCUUUCUGCUUCACCUCCGUCUCAGUGCUGUUCCAGCUGCUCUGCGGGGACCUACCAGCCUUACCAAUAGAAACCUGUACUUUUUUCUCAAGGUCAUACAGCUCUGUAUCAGAUAGCAGCAGAGCUUCAGCAAUAACAUCAGAUGCCAUCGUAGAUUAAUGUUUCAGUUAUCCUUACACAGUUUGAUCAUUUUUGAAGCUGGCCUGUUAUGUAACUUAACACCAGUUCACAGUAUGUUUAUGAUUGGUUUUAACAUGAUACCUAUGGAUUUACCUACAUCUGUUUGCCUAGUUUCUCUAGUCUCUACUUUUGAGAAAUAUACUUAGUAAAGAAAUAAUGGGAGGAUAAAUUAUUAAAAACGGAAAAACCAUUUGUUAAAAGAAUGUAGUUAUUUUAGUCAUUACUAAUUACCAGUGUACUGAAAUAAAUGCAUCCACUGAAAAAAGGAACA